AUCUAGCUGAAGAGUCCCAAACUAGGACGAAACAGCUGUCCAGCAC
Molecule: non-coding RNA, 46 nt
Filed under: Trichobilharzia regenti
Lineage: Eukaryota; Metazoa; Platyhelminthes; Trematoda; Strigeidida; Schistosomatidae
Source: RNAcentral